AACGUAGGUACCGAGCGUUAUCCGGAUUUACUGGGCGUAAAGCGCGUUCAGGCGGCUCAGCAAGUCGGGCAUGAAAUCUCUCGGCUCAACCGGGAGGGGCUGUCCGAAACUGCUGGGCUUGAGGGCAGUAGAGGGUGGUGGAAUUCCGGGUGUAGUGGUGAAAUGCGUAGAUAUCCGGAGGAACACCAGUGGCGAAAGCGGCCACCUGGACUGUACCUGACGCUGAGGCGCGAAGGCGUGGGGAGCGAACGGG
This 253-nucleotide ribosomal RNA is filed under the name uncultured bacterium. RNAcentral's name for it is "partial 16S ribosomal RNA". It matches the Rfam family "Bacterial small subunit ribosomal RNA", at positions 524 to 776 of the family's 1533-position model. The record is from RNAcentral.